RNAcentral lists this ribosomal RNA (1164 nucleotides) under Phytophthora humicola. RNAcentral describes it as "eukaryotic LSU rRNA". The stretch from base 930 to 1164 matches the Rfam family "Eukaryotic large subunit ribosomal RNA", at positions 1 to 230 of the family's 3401-position model. Lineage: Eukaryota; Oomycota; Peronosporomycetes; Peronosporales; Peronosporaceae. The record is from RNAcentral.
CCGUUUGCUUCAUUGCGAGUGGAUUSAUGGGAACUUUUUUAAACCUCGCCAUUUAGAGGAAGGUGAAGUCGUAACAAGGUUUCCGUAGGUGAACCUGCGGAAGGAUCAUUACCACACCUAAAAAACUUUCCACGUGAACCGUAUCACCCCCUUAAGAUUGGGAGCUUGCUCGGCGGCGUGCGUGCUGGCCUGUAAUGGGUCGGCGUGCUGCUGCUGGGCGGGCUCUAUCAUGGGCGAGCGUUUGGGCUUCGGCUCGAGCUAGUAGCUUUUUCUUUUAAACCCCUUCUUUAAUUACUGAAAUACUGUGGGGACGAAAGUCUCUGCUUUUAACUAGAUAGCAACUUUCAGCAGUGGAUGUCUAGGCUCGCACAUCGAUGAAGAACGCUGCGAACUGCGAUACGUAAUGCGAAUUGCAGGAUUCAGUGAGUCAUCGAAAUUUUGAACGCAUAUUGCACUUCCGGGUUCGUCCUGGAAGUAUGCCUGUAUCAGUGUCCGUACAUCAACCUUGGUUUUCUUCCUUCCGUGUAGUCGGUGGAGGAUAUGCCAGACGUGAAGUGUCUUGCUAGCGGUCUUUCGAGUCUGCCGGCGAGUCCUUUGAAAUGUACUGAACUGUACUCUCUCUUUGCUCGAAAAGCGUGGCGUUGCUGGUUGUGGAGGCUGCCCGUAUGGCCAGUCGGCGACCGGUUUGUUAGCUGUAGUAUAUACUGGAGGAGUGUUCGAUUCGCGGUAUGGUUGGCUUCGGCUGAACAAUCUGCUUAUUGGGURCUUUUCCUGCUAUUGGCGGUACRAACUGGUGAACCGUAGCUGUGUGGAGCUUGGCUUUUGAAUCGGCUUUGCUUGCGAAGUAGAGUGGCGGCUUCGGCUGCCGAGGGGUCGAUCCAUUUUGGGAAAUUAUGUGUGUGCGGCUUCGUGCUGCGCGCAUCUCAAUUGGACCUGAUAUCAGGCAAGAUUACCCGCUGAACUUAAGCAUAUCAAUAAGCGGAGGAAAAGAAACUAACAAGGAUUCCCCUAGUAACGGCGAGUGAAGCGGGAAGAGCUCAAGCUUAAAAUCUCCGUGCAAGUUUUGCACGGCGAAUUGUAGUCUAUAGAGGCGUGGUCAGCGUGGGCGCUUGGGGCAAGUUCCUUGGAAGAGGACAGCAUGGAGGGUGAUACUCCCGUCUCCCC